Molecule: transfer RNA, 64 nt
Filed under: Engaeus cunicularius
Lineage: Eukaryota; Metazoa; Arthropoda; Malacostraca; Decapoda; Parastacidae
Description: tRNA-Gly
Source: RNAcentral
UAAUUUUUUAGUAUCUUCGUACAUUUAGCUUCCAACUAAAAAGACUAUUUCUCAUAGAAAAAUU